RNAcentral lists this ribosomal RNA (404 nucleotides) under Verrucomicrobiota bacterium. RNAcentral describes it as "Verrucomicrobia bacterium partial 16S ribosomal RNA". It matches the Rfam family "Bacterial small subunit ribosomal RNA", at positions 355 to 776 of the family's 1533-position model. Lineage: Bacteria; Pseudomonadati; Verrucomicrobiota. The record is from RNAcentral.
UGGGGAAUAUUGCACAAUGGGGGAAACCCUGAUGCAGCGACGCCGCGUGAGCGAAGAAGGCUUUCGAGUCGUAAAGCUCUGUCCUAUGAGAAGAUAAUGACGGUAUCAUAGGAGGAAGCCCUGGCUAAAUACGUGCCAGCAGCCGCGGUAAUACGUAUGGGGCGAGCGUUGUCCGGAAUUAUUGGGCGUAAAGAGCUCGUAGGCGGUUUGUCGCGUCUGCUGUGAAAGACCGGGGCUUAACUCCGGGGCUGCAGUGGGUACGGGCAGGCUGGAGUGCGGUAGGGGUAACCGGAAUUCCUGGUGUAGCGGUGGAAUGCGCAGAUAUCAGGAGGAACACCGAUGGCGAAGGCAGGUUACUGGGCCGUUACUGACGCUGAGGAGCGAAAGCAUGGGGAGCGAACAGG